Molecule: long non-coding RNA, 1335 nt
Filed under: Triticum aestivum (bread wheat)
Lineage: Eukaryota; Viridiplantae; Streptophyta; Magnoliopsida; Poales; Poaceae
Description: long non-coding RNA (TAES_LNC004273)
Source: RNAcentral
CCUCCUCCACGAGGCAAAUCUGGUAAGUGCGUGCCGAGUUUUCUCCACUUCAAUCCCCCCUCCUCUCCCGGCCGUUUCGUUUCCUUCGCCGGCGACGCCUCCGUUCUCCCAGGCCCCACCGCUUGUGCUGGGGUCCACAAUGCGAUGCCACAUAUUCGAUUCAGUUAAUGAUCUGGACUGUGUCCCCAGGCGUGGAUUGAAUGGAUUGAUACGCUGAUUGAUUGGGUAUUGCCGUAUUGGUUCCAUUGCAGAUCGGUCGGUCGAAAUGGGCCACGAGGGCACCAAGUACGGUGAGGACGGCUGCCCCAACCAUACAAUCCCCCGUUCUUCGGUACGUCUGUAUGCCCUCUGCUCUGCUGCUGCCGAGAAAUCUCCCUCUCAGGUUAAUGUACCACACCAUUUUUGUGCGGCACUGUAUGUCUAAUACAUGCUAUGUCUUUGUGUGUUCUUUUUUCUUUCAGACCUGGAUGACACCCUCUACCCGGUGGCCUCCAGCAUUGGCCUCGACUUCGUGAAGAACAUCCAAGGUGCAUAUAUAUAAACCAAACCAUGCCAUGUUUUACUAAAAAUUUGCAGCAGUAUUAGUUUACUGGAAGAGAUGGCCGGUUUUAUGUACGACAUUGAUGAGUUCAUGCUCUUGUUUGGCUAAUUGACUGUCUGCUCCAGAUUAUAUAUGGUCGAGAAGCUCUGAAUCGACAAAAUAUCAGGUUGGAGCUCUGCAUCCUCCUCUACAAGCAGAGUACGGAACCACCGUGGCCGGUCUGCAGGUGUGUAUGGUUUAAGUCCAACAAAUUCUUUUGUUUGUUUUAGACUUGACCAUGUGUGUAUAAUCAAAACGUUGUGCUAUGAAGUAAAGGAAAUGUUUAUGAAGGAAAAUAAUGUUGAGGUGUUGGUAAAUCUUUCUCACAAGGUUGAUUUUCUUAUACUAGCUUAGUAUUCUUCACCUGAAAAUCUGCAAUUGUUGUAAGCCAGCUAAUUAGUUUCGAUGCCAUGCUUUGAUAUUAUGUAUUUAGGGCGUAUUAUUUUCUAUGUAUGCGUAUUAUUAAUGCGAUGUCGCUAUUUGUUGAUGUAUGCAACAGAUGGCUUACAACAAUAUAAUCAAAUGUGCAGGAAACGUGGACAUGCUAUUCUAGGGAAGGGCGAAACCUUGGACGUGUAAUUGAUUACUUUAUGUAGUUCUAAUUUCUAAUUCAAUAAUUUCUUCCAUAUUAUAAACCAAACGACUUCUAUGUAUACCAUCAAUUGAGUUUCAGAUGAAUGCUAAUGUACCAAUGGGGCACCAACUUGGUUCUAGCAUAAAUACAUGGUUCUGGAGUCCCUAGGCUGGAAACAUUU